UCUCCGUAGGUGAACCUGCGGAGGGAUCAUUACAGAGUUCGUGCACUCGCGGGUCGUUCUCCCACCCUGUGAUAUUGCUACCUUUGUCGCUUUGGCGCGCCCCCCGCGGCUGCCGGCCCCGGCUGGUACGGGCCCGCCAGAGCCCCCCAAACCCUGAACGUCAGUGUCGUCUGAGUACUACACAAUAAUUAAAACUUUAAACAACGGAUCUCUUGGUUCUG
RNAcentral lists this unclassified non-coding RNA (221 nucleotides) under plant metagenome. RNAcentral's name for it is "partial contains small subunit ribosomal RNA, internal transcribed spacer 1, and 5.8S ribosomal RNA". The record is from RNAcentral.